UACGUAGGUGACUAGCGUUGUUCGGAUUUAUUGGGCGUAAAGGGUCCGCAGGGGGCUGGCUAAGUCUGAUGUGAAAUACCAAGGCUCAACCUUGGAACUGCAUUGGAAACUGGCUGGCUAGAGCAUCGGAGAGGAGAUUGGAAUUCCUGGUGUAGCGGUGGAAUGCGUAGAUAUCAGGAGGAACACCAAAGGCGAAGGCAGAUCUCUGGACGAUUGCUGACCCUCAGGGACGAAAGCAUGGGGAU
This 245-nucleotide ribosomal RNA is filed under the name uncultured bacterium. Its description in RNAcentral is "partial 16S ribosomal RNA". It matches the Rfam family "Bacterial small subunit ribosomal RNA", at positions 524 to 768 of the family's 1533-position model. The record is from RNAcentral.